AUACGGAGGGUGCAAGCGUUAUUCGGAAUCGCUGGGCGUAAAGGACGCGUAGGCGGGUUGGCAAGUCAGAUGUGAAAUCCUACAGCUUAACUGUAGAACUGCAUUUGAAACUGCUAACCUAGAGUAUGGGAGGGGGAGAUGGAAUUAGUGGUGUAGGGGUAAAAUCCGUAGAUAUCACUAGGAAUACCGAAAGCGAAGGCGAUCUCCUGGAACAUAACUGACGCUAAGGCGUGAAAGCGUGGGGAGCAAACAGGAUUAGAAACCCUAGUAGUCC
RNAcentral lists this ribosomal RNA (274 nucleotides) under uncultured bacterium. RNAcentral's name for it is "partial 16S ribosomal RNA". It matches the Rfam family "Bacterial small subunit ribosomal RNA", at positions 523 to 796 of the family's 1533-position model. The record is from RNAcentral.